RNAcentral lists this long non-coding RNA (606 nucleotides) under Callithrix jacchus (white-tufted-ear marmoset). RNAcentral describes it as "lncRNA (ENSCJAG00000077472.1)". The record is from RNAcentral. Lineage: Eukaryota; Metazoa; Chordata; Mammalia; Primates; Cebidae.
CUCCUGAGGCAAGCCUCCCACCACAGCCUCCUGAGUAGCUGGGACCACAGAUGUGCACCACCCUAUCCAGCUAAUUUUGUUUCUCAUUUUUUGUAGAGACAAGGACUCACUAUGUUGUCCAGGCUGGUCUAGAAGUCCUGAGCUCAAGGGAUCCUCUUGCCUCUGCCACCCAAGGUGCUGGGAUUGCAGGAGUGAGCCACUGUCCCCAGCUGAUAACAUUUUCAGACGCAAUACUCAUCAGUGAGAUAAGACACAUAGUUUAAUGAGCUGCAUCUUGAGUGGCUGUGCUUAAUGUAUUCAUGAAACAGCAGCCUUGACCGCUAAAGAGAGGAAAACCUUCAGUCAACCAAAAAGAAAGACUGGAGUACAAUGGUGUGAUCUUGGCUCCCUGCAACCUCUGCCUCCAGGAUUCAAGUGAUUCUCCCUUUUCAGCCUUCCGAGUAGCUGGAAUUACAGAAACAUUUGGAAGAGUUUUACCACGCAAAGAUCAAAACAGCAAAGCAACUCUUCACAGCAAUUAUGAAUUUCACAAUAGACUCUUUAGUGUGGGUUGUAAACGCUUCUCAGCAUAUUUCCUCAUUUCCGUAUGUAAAGGAGAGCCGUCAG